CCUAGGUGGAGACUCAGCCUAAGCCACACUAUUUCUGUCCAAUGUCAUCUGUCCUGGGACCUAGGUAUUCAAACAUGGACCCUGAAAUUUGUGGAAUGCAUCCACCAUUUGAAAGAGGUCAAUGGUCACAGAAUCGAAGGAAACACCACUAUGACCUGGGGACUUCCUGCCCACACACUCGGCAUCAUCUCAAAGUUCAAACGGCUCACGAACUGACAUCCGGCUGACAGAUGGGGAAUGUGGCUCAGUGGUAGAGUGCUUGCCUACCUCGGGAGAGGCCCUGGCUUCUAUCUCCAACCCUACAAAGAAAAAAAAUUAAUCAAAUGAACUGAAAAUAAAACAGGCUUAAAAAAAAGUA
This is a long non-coding RNA of Mastomys coucha (southern multimammate mouse), 358 nucleotides long. RefSeq lists it as uncharacterized. The record is from RefSeq and is a predicted model, not a curated record. NCBI's taxonomy places the organism in Eukaryota, Metazoa, Chordata, Mammalia, Rodentia, Muridae. The transcript is spliced from 2 exons.